Molecule: ribosomal RNA, 432 nt
Filed under: uncultured bacterium
Lineage: Bacteria
Description: partial 16S ribosomal RNA
Rfam family: Bacterial small subunit ribosomal RNA
Source: RNAcentral
AAUGAACGCUGGCGGCAUGCCUAACACAUGCAAGUCGAACGAGACCACCGGGUCUAGUGGCGCAUGGGUGUGUCACGCGUGGGAACCUGCCCUUAUGUUUGGAAUAACUCUCCGACAGGGGUGCUAAUACCGGACAAUGUCUUCUGACCAAAGAUUUAUCGCCUUUGGAUGGGCACGCGUUGGAUUAGCUUGUUGGUAGGGUAAAAGCCUACCAAGGCGACGAUCCAUAGCUGGUCCGAGAGGAUGGUCAGCCACACUGCGACUGAGACACGGCCCAGACUCCUACGGGUGGGAGCAGUGGGGAUAUUGGACAAUGGGCGGAAGCCUGAUGCAGCAAUGCCGCGUGAGUGAUGAAGGCCUGAGGGUUGUAAAGCUCUUUUACCCGGGAUGAUAAUGACAGUACCGGGAGAAUAAGCUCCGGCUAACUCCGUG